GCUGUGUCUCAUUUGCUAGAGCUCCAUUCUUAUGAGCACUUUGUAAAAGUAAAUCUUACUGAGUGCUCUUUUCUCAUCAUUUUGAAGGAUUAAAAAACCUUAAGAUUUUUUCAUUUUCUUUUGGGUGGUUUCAGUUUUCUCCCUUUCUAGUUGAUCUCCAUCUCACAGAAUUUAUGAUGUUUGUUUCAGCCUCUACAUGCAGACAUGAAAUGGGAUUCACUUGCCAGCAAAGCAUGACUUCUUCUGUGCACUGACUACCUGUCUCUGGGCUUCUUGACCUAUUUCUCAAGCUUUUCAGUAUAUAUACACAUACAAUGAGUUAAUCUACAACAAGCCUAACUCUUCUUAUAUAAAAGAGAUGAUUGUAGCAUUUAUCUUAAUAUCUCACGGGUACAAAAAGGUGUUUUGAUAGACAGCAAGACAUCAAUUACAGAUUUGAAGUGUGCUCAGAGACAUAUGGACGUUAUGUUAUCAGUCUGUUCAAAGAAUUAAGUAGUGAGGAUCCAAGAUGGCCCAGAUGUUACAAAUUUCUAUUGGCGGUCACUGAAGCAUGCAAUCUCAUGCAAGUGUUGCUUCUUGGAAUCAUUCAAGGCAGCCAGAAAAGGAUGGAAGGACUUAUUUUCAAUAUCCAAUACAUCUAAGAGAAUAACAAGUGCUUAUAAAGGCACAAGGAAAGAUCUACUUAAUUUACUUGUUGCAAGACGCAAGCCCUUUGUCUCAACAUCUCUAGCUUGUUGGCUAUAUAACCAUUGUAAGAAUGUGGACAAGAGUUCAGAAAGAGGAGCUGAGUCUGAAAGAAUCACAUUGUUGGAGAUUUUGACCACUACAUCAAGUCAUAAUUACAACAGUUUUCCUGGUUGGACAGAAAAACAUCUGCUGUGUUUCCUAUUAGGAAGUUCCUGUCAAGAUCAAGCAGCAAACAAAAUUCACGGACACUUGGCUUUAGAUCCCCUCCAGAUUUGCCCUUCUGCUUUCAAUAUCCUUUUUUAAUGAUCUUUUUUGGGGGAAAGAAAGAAAAUUUGCAUUGCUGGACAUACACCUUGUGGACACCUGUCUUUUUUGUCUGACACUGAAGAGAGACUGGUGGUUCCUGCAAGAAUUUUGAAUACACUGGAACAGCAGAUAUUUUGUUGUGCUCUGUUAAAUAAUAUAUAAAAAAAGGAGAGCUAUGACAGUAUAAAUAUGAAUCAAGUUGAAUUUUGUCGAGUGUGAAGUAAUGAAAAAAGCCACCUUAUUUCAGUGUACAAUGUAAAUAUGCACAGAACCCAAAAGGAUUUAAUUUAUUCUUGGUCUAACUCUCUUGAUUUAAUUAGCAUUAGACCAUGCAUUAAUUUGUCUAAAUAUAGUUUACAUCUAUAUUGUAAACUUAACAGUUGUAAUGUAUCUGCUUAUCACCUGGAACACAUAAAGUAAAAGCAGGGGAUCAGAAAAUUUGUGGUUGAAAUGCUUUGAAUUUCCUGAUUAAUUACAUAAAAUGUCAAAAUAAGAAUUCAAUUCAUGCUUAAAAAAGACAAAAUUAUAGCAACAACAUCUGCUAUUUUGCAAGUUCAUAUUCACAGACAGCACAUUUUUAAGAUGGAAAAAUUAUGUACAUAUUAUAAACUGCAUGUUUACCUGCUAAUAACAAUUUCAAUUUUGCCAUAAAUUUAUAGUUAAAUCACAGUAUAAUCAGAUUUUCAGUGAUCUGGACAGUCAUACUGGAAAUUAUGAAUGAAAACACAAUAGGGCAAUUUUUGUAUUACCUAGAGGUUGAGAGACCUCACAGAGUGCCAUUAAGGUCCUAUCAGGAUUUAACCAAAUGAUGGUUGUUGAAGAAUUACAGAGCAACCCCAAUAAUUGGAGAACUUCAGUGCAUUAUCUGUUAAACAAGUGUUCAUCUGCUCCAUCUGUGUUCCCAAAUGUUCAUGUUUAGGCAUUGGGAUCCUCAUCUUGUUAUGUUUCCUGGGUGCUGAAAUAAUACAAACAAAUUACACAAAGGUUAAAAAAAAAA
This is a long non-coding RNA of Phasianus colchicus (ring-necked pheasant), 1990 nucleotides long. NCBI's taxonomy places the organism in Eukaryota, Metazoa, Chordata, Aves, Galliformes, Phasianidae. The record is from Ensembl.